GACAGAGGGUGCAAACGUUGCUCGGAAUCACUGGGCGUAAAGGGCGUGUAGGCGGGACGGUAAGUCGGGCGUGAAAUCCCUAGGCUCAACCUAGGAACUGCACUCGAAACUACCAUUCUUGAGUGUCGGAGAGGAAAGCGGAAUUCCUGGUGUAGAGGUGAAAUUCGUAGAUAUCAGGAGGAACACCAGUGGCGAAGGCGGCUUCUGGACGAUAACUGACGCUGAGACGCGAAAGCGUGGGAAGCAAACAGG
RNAcentral lists this ribosomal RNA (252 nucleotides) under uncultured bacterium. RNAcentral describes it as "partial 16S ribosomal RNA". It matches the Rfam family "Bacterial small subunit ribosomal RNA", at positions 524 to 776 of the family's 1533-position model. The record is from RNAcentral.